This 404-nucleotide ribosomal RNA is filed under the name uncultured bacterium. RNAcentral describes it as "bacterial SSU rRNA". It matches the Rfam family "Bacterial small subunit ribosomal RNA", at positions 355 to 774 of the family's 1533-position model. The record is from RNAcentral.
UGAGGGAUAUUGGGCAAUGGGGGAAACCCUGACCCAGCAACGCCGCGUGAGGGAAGAAGGUCUUCGGAUUGUAAACCUAAGUAGUCAGGGACGAAGGAAUGACGGUACCUGAAGAGUAAGCUCCGGCUAACUACGUGCCAGCAGCCGCGGUAAUACGUAGGGAGCGAGCGUUGUCCGGAAUUACUGGGUGUAAAGGGUGCGUAGGCGGGCUGUCAAGUCAGAUGUGAAAUACCGGGGCUUAACUCCGGGGCUGCAUUUGAAACUGAUGGUCUUGAGUGAAGUAGAGGCAGGCGGAAUUCCUAGUGUAGCGGUGAAAUGCGUAGAUAUUAGGAGGAACACCAGUGGCGAAGGCGGCCUGCUGGGCUUUAACUGACGCUGAGGCACGAAAGCAUGGGGAGCAAACA